AAAUGAUUUUUAAGAAUGUUAUUUUUUAUAUUUUGAUAAAAUUAUCAAAAUAUAAUUUUUUUUACGAAAAUAUCACACAAAUAAAUAGUCAUAAAUCAUUAUCACAUAAUUGUGUGAUGGCUAUUGAUUUCGCUCUCAAGAGUAGAACUCAAAUUUUAUUUUUGAAUAAGACAUUAUUAUAAGAGACAGCACAAAUCUUAAAGAUUAAAUGGAUAAAAAUAACAAUUUUCAUUAAAAUUAAAAUUAAAAUUGCUACAAAAAUUUAAAUGUUUUAAUCAUUUGGCUUAUUUUAUACUCUUUCUGUUU
Molecule: unclassified non-coding RNA, 306 nt
Filed under: Hevea brasiliensis (rubber tree)
Lineage: Eukaryota; Viridiplantae; Streptophyta; Magnoliopsida; Malpighiales; Euphorbiaceae
Source: RNAcentral